CAAAGUAUAGCUUAUGCAAAGCACCUUGCUUACACCAAGGAGUUGUUUGACACUCAGACUAUUUUGAAUUACG
Molecule: transfer RNA, 73 nt
Filed under: Eleutherodactylus chlorophenax
Lineage: Eukaryota; Metazoa; Chordata; Amphibia; Anura; Eleutherodactylidae
Description: tRNA-Val
Source: RNAcentral